AUACCAGCCACUUAAUCUGCUUAUCUGAACAUGCUUCUGCAGAAAUUUAUUAAAAACUACCAAUAGUGAUGCUAUUUUAUGAGCCUUAAAGAUAGCUGAAGUCAUUAAGAGCCCUGAAAGUGGCUACAAUA
Molecule: small nucleolar RNA, 131 nt
Organism: Jaculus jaculus (lesser Egyptian jerboa)
Lineage: Eukaryota; Metazoa; Chordata; Mammalia; Rodentia; Dipodidae
Source: Ensembl